CCCUGGCCUCACCUCGUUUGGGGCGGGUCCGGGAUCUGGGGAGUGAGCCUCCCUCUCUCUAGUCCCCGGGGUGUAACCUCGACCACCAUCUCCGGGGGUACCUAUCCCCCGCUGGUUUCCGCGGCCCGGGGUGACCCCGCCCCUGCCCGCCCGCAGGUGUUCCACGUGUCCACAGCGCGUGCGUCACAAUGACCUGGGCGACAGGUGGGAGCCUGGGCGAAGGGUUCCCUCUGUGUCCAGGGCAGGGCGUGCUGCUUGCUUCCACUGUAGGUGUCUGUGGCUCUAGGGGACAGGAGACUUCAUGACUUCCAAUGCCACGACACAGGACAGAGGCCUGUACCCGUGAGCCAAGUUUGGACUUCAAGGAAAAAGGCUGUGUGAAAAAAACAAAACAAAAAUAACUGUAUGUAUGCAUAUGUAUAUCAUGUUUUCAUUCCCAUUUAGCCACAUAUCUCUUAUACUUGUAUUUGACGCUGAUAUUCCUCCUCCUCUCUUAGCCUUUGUCAUCAGGAAAGAACCAAACCCUGUUUUUAGGGUACCCUGCAGGGAUCAUCCGAAGAAAAAAAUGCUGAAAUAGCCAUAGCCAGGCUUUCACAGCCGUGAUCCAUAUCAAGUGCAUUGAGAAGAAAGAGGAGCUUCUGGAGGCUGAUCCUAGGAGAAGCCUGAAGACACAAGAAAUGUACUGUUCCCGAAGGAAUGGUUGAAUCCAUCAUGUUGUCCAAAGGCUGUAGAAUAUUGAGAUGGGAUUGUGACAGAACUGAAGAGGAUCAUAAUAAACUAGAGGUCCUGGACUUGAAGACCAAUAUCUCACCUCUUUGUGGGGUGGCUGGAAAUGACCGGUUGUUAUGAAUAUUUCCUUUGGAUAUCAGGGAGAAAAGGUGUGUGUGUGUGUGUGUGUGUGUGUGUGUGUGUGUGUGUUAAAAGUCUUCAUUAUAUAUGAGAAAUUUUAGGCCUCAAGAAACUAUAGAUGGAAGUCCACUUACUUUUCAUGUGGGAGACUGCUGGCCUACUGUGUCCCAGAAAAUUCAUACAACCUUUAAUUGGCUUGUUUUGUGCAGUGUUUCUUAGAUAAUAAAAAAUGUUGUUCUUCCCUUCUUUCUUCCAUCCAUCCUUCUGUCCCUCCCUCCCCUCAGCUACUUAUUUAUUAAAUAUUCAUUGAUAAUCCAGAAGACUGUGAAAGUUGGAGGCCUGGAAAAGACAACCUGAGACCUUCAUUCUUCUUACUAUCCAAUAAAUGCAGAGACAUUUAUUGCAACUCUGCAACUGUUGUGAUCUGGUACAGUCCUGGUCAGAUGUUUAGCCCAAGAUUAUAAAAAAAUAAAACAGAACCAAAAGAAAGAAUGCAUUUUACUUUAAUACCAGUUCUGCAGUUAAUAAGAAGCAUUUUAAACCUUGGAUGUUUAAAGUACUAGUUAUUUGAAAGCAUUUGUAAGUGAUGUUAGAAUUCAAAUAUGAAAUGAGUCUCUGCUGUCUGGCACAACUGUCAUGUGUUCAGAGUCACACUUGUGGGUGAAGAUAAGGUUUCACUUUGUCCCUUUCCACACAAUUUUGAGUUUGCAUUGUAAAGACCCGAUUAAGUAUGUCAGAAAAGUAGGCACCUACUAGGGAAGUGAAAAGUAUUAACUAUUUCAGGCCACUAAUAAAAUAUGACAUUUGCUGCAGAGGUAAAUUAGCAAAUUACGCUCAUGGUGCCAUAGAGAAAUUAAUGUCCCUUUAAAAAAUUUGAAUUAUUUGCCUCACCCUCUUCUUCCCCAGUUUUUAAAGUUAUGAGUUCUAGUGAGCUUGGAAGAGCUUUAUGAUGUUUACUUUUCUCUCCAUUAUCAAAAAGGAAAGGAAUUUAGUAAGGACCAUAAUAUCAUUCUUUGAUCUUUGUUGAUGCUGUGUCAUCUUACAGAUUGUUUGAAAAGACUUGGAACAACUUGAAGCACUUUGAUGGAGAGAUAUGUAAUUUUUUAAAUGUUAUUUUUUUCUUUGACCUUUCAUCUUCCAUAUACUAAUUAUUGUAAAUACAAUUUAAAAAUCAUAAGUU
This is a long non-coding RNA of Pipistrellus kuhlii (Kuhl's pipistrelle), 2029 nucleotides long. RefSeq lists it as uncharacterized. The record is from RefSeq and is a predicted model, not a curated record. The transcript has 3 exons. NCBI's taxonomy places the organism in Eukaryota, Metazoa, Chordata, Mammalia, Chiroptera, Vespertilionidae.